AUUGAACGCUGGUGGCAGGCCUAAUACAUGCAAGUAGAACGCAGUUGCGAACGGGUGAGUAACGCGUAGGUAACUGCCUGGUAGCGGGGGAUAACUAUUGGAAACGAUAGCUAAUACCGCAUACUACCAGAUGGACCUGCGUUGUAUUAGCUAGUUGGUGGGGUAACGGCUCACCAAGGCAACGAUACAUAGCCGACCUGGGAGGGGUAUCGGCCACACUGGGACUGAGACACGGCCCAGACUCCUACGGGAGGCAGCAGUAGGGAAUCUUCGGCAAUGGGGGGAACCCUGACCGGGCAACGCCGCGUGAGUGAAGAAGGUUUUCGGAUCGUAAAGCUCUGUUGUUAAGGAAGCGGUACUUAACCAGAAAGGGACGGCUAACUACGUGCCAGCAGCCGCGGUAAUUC
This 407-nucleotide ribosomal RNA is filed under the name uncultured bacterium. Its description in RNAcentral is "partial 16S ribosomal RNA". It matches the Rfam family "Bacterial small subunit ribosomal RNA", at positions 30 to 526 of the family's 1533-position model. The record is from RNAcentral.